This 202-nucleotide long non-coding RNA is filed under the name Solanum tuberosum (potato). RNAcentral describes it as "long non-coding RNA (STUB_LNC005672)". Lineage: Eukaryota; Viridiplantae; Streptophyta; Magnoliopsida; Solanales; Solanaceae. The record is from RNAcentral.
UAUGUUGUUAGUAGUAAUUUGCAAGCACUUUUAUAAAAGAAUGUAGAUUCUUCUAGAGUUGUGAGUAACUAUCAUUCUCAUAUUUUGGAUGAUAAAGUUAGUAUUUUUACGUGAGAAAUUGAGAGCAACAAUAAUUAUAUUCUUACUUUUCAAAUAGUGAAAGUUCAUUACAAUAUGCGUCUCUCGUUCGAGAAAUAAAAUU